ACAUUAGACAAAAUACAGAUUCAUUUAUUUUUUUGAAAAUCUAAAAUUAAACAUUAGUAUUUGCUGCUUUGUAGCAGUUAUGAUAACAUUUGUUUGGUUGAGCUGUUUAAUGAUAUUGCAACUAAGUUAAUAACCACAUUACAAGUUCAUAACAGAGCCCCUGCAAUUCAUACAAUAACACCAAGGUAAUUUCUAAUUCUACGGCCACUUAAUAUCUACAAAAGCAAGUCAAGUAGUUUUCAUAUUUGUUUUGCUGAACAAACUUAAAACAACAUUCAUAAUUUUUAUAAUGUUGUGACUUGAAAUAAUUCUCCAAAUUUCUCAAUAUGAUUUAAAAUUCCUUCAAUAGGAGAAAUCACGUAAAACCAAAAAGCAUGUAUUUUAAGAUAGCAAAAUGAAUCAUUUUCGUUUUUAGAUUCUUUUUUGUCAACUUGCACAAAAGUUGCACUAUGCAUGCAAAUGUGUCAACAGGUAAAAUGACAUGAUAUGCAUUAUUGGUUGCCAUUUCCCUAUCCAUGUGCAGAGAGAAUCAUCUUUAGGUACAAAAUUACUUCUCACCCAUCAAAUAUUCAAAUAUUCUCACAUAGAUGGCAGCACUUGGCUGGCAGUCGAAGACUCACAUUCUCUGCUGGCUCAAGGAUCGAAUGAAGUGUCAAGUCCGAGAGUCGAAAAAUUUACAGCAAAAAAGACAAAAAGAAGACAAAGACAUUGUUUUGUUUAAAACAUG
Molecule: long non-coding RNA, 727 nt
Filed under: Physcomitrium patens
Lineage: Eukaryota; Viridiplantae; Streptophyta; Bryopsida; Funariales; Funariaceae
Description: long non-coding RNA (PPAT_LNC013532)
Source: RNAcentral